GACGAACGCUGGCGGCGUGCUUAACACAUGCAAGUCGAACGGAAAGGCCCCCUUGUGGGGUACUCGAGUGGCGAACGGGUGAGUAACACGUGAGUAACCUACCCUUGACUUUGGGAUAACUUCAGGAAACUGGGGCUAAUACCGGAUAGGAGCUCCUGCUGCAUGGUGGGGGUUGGAACGUUUCGGCGGUUGGGGAUGGACUCGCGGCUUAUCAGCUUGUUGGUGGGGUAGUGGCUCACCAAGGCGUUGACGGGUAGCCGGCCUGAGAGGGUGACCGGCCACAUUGGGACUGAGAUACGGCCCAGACUCCUACGGGAGGCAGCAGUGGGGAAUAUUGCACAAUGGGCGGAAGCCUGAUGCAGCAACGCCGCGUGCGGGAUGACGGCCUUCGGGUUGUAAACCGCUUUCGCCUGUGACGAAGCGUGAGUGACGGUAAUGGGUAAAGAAGCACCGGCUAACUACGUG
This 465-nucleotide ribosomal RNA is filed under the name uncultured bacterium. RNAcentral describes it as "partial 16S ribosomal RNA". It matches the Rfam family "Bacterial small subunit ribosomal RNA", at positions 28 to 507 of the family's 1533-position model. The record is from RNAcentral.